AGCCUGAACGCUGGCGGCGUGGCUAAGACAUGCAAGUCGUACGGGUGUAGCAAUACACCAGUGGCGAACGGGUGAGUAAUGUAUCGCUAAUGUGCCCCGGAUUCUGGGAUAGCUAUCCGAAAGGGUAGGUAAUACCAGAUGAUAUAACCUUGUCGCAUGGCAGGGUUCUCAAAGGAGUAAUCCGCUCUGGGGAGCAGGCGAUAUCGUAUCAGCUAGUUGGUGAGGUAACGGCUCACCAAAGGCGACGACGCGUAGCCGGACUGAGAGGUUGGCCGGCCACAUUGGGACUGAGACACUGCCCAGACUCCGUACGGGGGGCUGCAGUAACGAAUCUUCCGCAAUGCACGAAAGUGUGACGGAGCGACGCCGCGUGUGGGACGAAGCCCUUGGGGUGUAAACCACUGUCAGGGGUUAGAAAGUUCUGAUCAACCCCAGACGGAAAGGCAACGGCUAACUCUGUGCCAGCAGCCGC
This 472-nucleotide ribosomal RNA is filed under the name uncultured bacterium. RNAcentral describes it as "SSU rRNA". It matches the Rfam family "Bacterial small subunit ribosomal RNA", at positions 26 to 518 of the family's 1533-position model. The record is from RNAcentral.